RNAcentral lists this ribosomal RNA (301 nucleotides) under uncultured bacterium. RNAcentral describes it as "partial 16S ribosomal RNA". It matches the Rfam family "Bacterial small subunit ribosomal RNA", at positions 509 to 807 of the family's 1533-position model. The record is from RNAcentral.
CAGCCGCCGCGGGAAUACGAAGGGGGCUAGCGUUGCUCGGAAUGACUGGGCGUAAAGGGCGCGUAGGCGGAUUGCGCAGUCAGAUGUGAAAUUCCUGGGCUUAACCUGGGGGCUGCAUUUGAGACGCGUAGUCUAGAGUGUGAAAGAGGGUCGUGGAAUUCCCAGUGUAGAGGUGAAAUUCGUAGAUAUUGGGAAGAACACCGGUGGCGAAGGCGGCGACCUGGUUCAUAACUGACGCUGAGGCGCGAAAGCGUGGGGAGCAAACAGGAUUAGAUACCCCUGUAGUCCCUGUCUCUUAUAC